Molecule: ribosomal RNA, 634 nt
Filed under: uncultured bacterium
Lineage: Bacteria
Description: bacterial SSU rRNA
Rfam family: Bacterial small subunit ribosomal RNA
Source: RNAcentral
AACGCUAAUACCGCAUAAGACCACACUCCCACAUGGGAGAGGGGUCAAAGGAGCAAUCCGCUGAAAGAUGGGCUCGCGUCCGAUUAGAUAGUUGGGGGGGUAACGGCCCGCCAAGUCGACGAUCGGUAGCCGGACUGAGAGGUUGAACGGCCACAUUGGGACUGAGACACGGCCCAGACUCCUACGGGAGGCAGCAGUGAGGGAUAUUGGUCAAUGGGGGAAACCCUGAACCAGCAACGCCGCGUGAGGGAAGACGGUUUUCGGAUUGUAAACCUCUGUCCUCUGUGAAGAUAAUGACGGUAGCAGAGGAGGAAGCUCCGGCUAACUACGUGCCAGCAGCCGCGGUAAUACGUAGGGAGCGAGCGUUGUCCGGAUUUACUGGGUGUAAAGGGUGCGUAGGCGGGUAAGCAAGUCAGAAGUGAAAUCCAUGGGCUUAACCCAUGAACUGCUUUUGAAACUGUUUAUCUUGAGUGAAGUAGAGGUAGGCGGAAUUCCCGGUGUAGCGGUGAAAUGCGUAGAGAUCGGGAGGAACACCAGUGGCGAAGGCGGCCUACUGGGCUUUAACUGACGCUGAAGCACGAAAGCGUGGGUAGCAAACAGGAUUAGAUACCCUGGUAGUCCAUGCCGUAAACGA